Molecule: long non-coding RNA, 2281 nt
Filed under: Mus musculus (house mouse)
Lineage: Eukaryota; Metazoa; Chordata; Mammalia; Rodentia; Muridae
Description: long non-coding RNA chr5:30897299-30899580
Source: RNAcentral
UUUUUUUUUUUUUUUUUUUUUUGGUUUUCUGAGACAGGGUUUCUUUGUGUAGCCCUGGCUGUCCUGGAACUCACUCUGUAGACCAGGCUGGCCUCGAACUCAGAAAUCCGCCUGCCUCUGCCUCCCGAGUGCUGGGAUUAAAGGCGUGUGCCGCCACUGUCCUGCAGAGUGGGUUAUUCCUUAAGGGGCAGGUCCCCCGCUUGUCUUUGAGGCUCCAGUAACCUAGUCUCCUAUGUUAUAUCUGGGUAAAGAUUUCUUAUUGUUGGUGGUGGUGGGCUUUUUUGGUUUUGUCAGGGUUUCCUAGAUCACAGCUUAUAAUUUCUUCAUCAGCAUUAUAAAUUCUCCAUCCUGGACCACAAAGGGCCUUUUCUAUAGAUCAUUCCUGGAGAAUUCAAGGCAGAUUUAUAAUAUUUAUUUAUUUAUUUAGAGGCAGGGUCUUGUUCUAUAGCCUAGAUUGGCUUUGAGUUUAGAAUUCUUUUGCUUCAACUUCCCAAGUGCUGGAUGAUAGGCUGGCCGAUUUCCAGCUGGGGGCAGAUUUUGGUAUUAAAUUGUUUAAUUGACAUCCUCCAGCUCCACUUCCUGAUGCAGAACUCUGCACUGAAAUCCUUGAGGUGGGGGCCAUAUAUUCUAUGUUACUUCCUCAGAGAACUAACUGAAAAUAUGCAGCCUGAGUACUAAGUAAUUCUUGGUUGACUGACGUGGAACUUAACACAGGAAACAAGAUAGCAAAUACAACAUAAAAAGUAUGUGCGCAUUAUAAACAUCCAGGCCGUUUGCAGCGCUACUGUGGUAGGUCAUAAGUAAUUAAACAGAAUGCUCAGUUGAGAAACAACUUUGAAGAACAAAUAGUAUGUGGCUUGACAAAAACAACAUCCCCAAAUGAGAAUGACAGCCACGCUCAGAAACACAGCUCCUGGAAGACAACAAAACUCCACACUGAGUUGGCAUACAAAGGGCUAGCCCUUCACCCACAAAGCUUGGUGAAGACACGUGGGAAGUGUUUUAAAAACAAGGAUGUUGAAUUAAAUGAGGCAUACGGUAGCAACUGUGGUUGCUUCUAAGAAAAAUGGGAACAAAAGGAACUGCACUGCACACUUGCACAGGGAGACAGGGGCUUGCAAUCAUGACACAUGAGCUGACCUGUACCAGAGUCUGCAAAGGAAAGAAAUCUAAGAAUUAGAAGGACCCAAUAACAGCAAAAGACAGAUGAGCUAAGAGGCUUCAAGCUGUGCGCUAGAGGAAAGUUACAGUUAAGACACAGUUGGAGCUGGGAGUGGUGGCGCAGGCACUUGGGAGGCAGAGGCAGGUGGAUUUCUGAGUUCAAGGCCAGCCUGGUCUACAGAGUGAGUUUCAGGACAGCCAGGGCUACACAGAGAAAACCUGUCUCGAGAAAAAAACAAACAAACAAACAAAAAAAGACACAGUUGGAAACAAAAUUGAAAAGCCAUCUUAACAGGCAUAGAUUCCUAAAGACAUCUAUGGAGAUGUCUUCUUGGCAGAACCAUAAACAGGACAAGUGGAGGAGUUGGAGAUCUAAGUCACCAUGUGGAAGAACCAAGUGAGAAGGCACGCUUCCUCAGGUGGACGAGCUUGGAACAGAAUGGUUAGAGAACCAAUACCCUCCAAGGCUUGCAUAAACAUGGCAGGAAACUGGGUUUAAAAUCAAGGGGUCAGGAUGAAAGUUGUAUCAAAAUAGACACUGUAGAGAGUUUAAAAAGUGAGGUCUUAAGUAUCUAAGAGUUCCCUGGGCAUUUACUGGCACAAUUCUUUUAAGACCCCACGAAGGAAAACUGGUUCUGAUUUUAGAUAGGGCUGCAAUGCAAACUAACAUUUGGACGUGGCAUCUUCAGUCAACUAUUGAAAAAACAUAUUGUUCAGUGUGCUCUGUCCUACCAUGUUCGCUAUAGCAUCUGUUGCCACACUGCUGGCUCUUCGGCCUCAACCACAGCAAGCAAUAUGGAAGUGUUUAUUUAUUGUGACUUUCUGUAUGUCUGUGCAUAAAGAUACAUGCCUCAGCACCCGUGUGGUGGGGCGAGAACAACUGAUGGGCAUCUAUCAUGUCUCUUUCUAUCAUGUUGGUCUUGAAAAUUGAGCUCAGUUUGUUAAGUGUGGUAAAUUUUACUCACCUAUCCUGGCUGGCCUGUUUUUAAAGCUAGGAAAAAACAUGACUCCAGACCUCAGAAGUUUUAACUUGAAAUGUGCUAUACUUUCCAACCCCCAAAUUUGGAUUGUGAUGAUCACUGUUAUCUUGACUUGUGAAUUUAUUUAUAAAAUUCUGACG